ACUUCAUACACUAAUUGCUCUGCCUUUUCCAAAAAGAAGGGGCUAAAUUAUAUUUAUAUGAAUAUGUUAUAGUUUGCAUUUUAUAAACCAUUUUACAUUUGCAAAUUCAUUGCUCAUACAAGAAGAAAAGCACAAAACUUUUAUUUUCUCAAAUAUUGCACAGGUUCAUAUUCCAGUGGCGAUGAUACUACCUUUUCUUAUGGCAUGCAGUGUCAAACUGCAGUGUGGUAUUUUCUUUCCCUUUACUCCAAAUUAGUGCUUGGGUAUGAGAAAUUGAGAAUAACUCACUUGAUAAAAAUAGACCCUGAAUGCAUUAAUGACUGGAGGUUUUGUUUGAUGGCAGAAAUUUGAAUGGGUGGGCUCCUUAUUAAGGAACACUGGUGUUGCUCUAUCACUGUCUGAGUGAAAACUGAUAAUAGCUUCAGUGGGGUUCCUUUGUUGAAUCAGUGAGGUUAUUAUGUCUGAAUCAACUUAGUUAGCCAUUGUUAUACAAAAUGUUUAGGGUCAAGAUGGUUGCAAAAGAUAGUUUAUCAUUGCUGAGCUCAAGUGAGGACAAGCCAGAUUGGAUUCCAUAGAGAUUCAGCACAACUCAGGAACAGUUUCUGCUUGUAUGGAAUCACAUUACACAUAAAAAGCAAAAGAGAGCUAACUGGCUGGCUCCUAAAUUUGCAAGUGUAGAGCUAUCUGGUUGUUCCCUAAAUCUGUGCCGAUGUUCUCUUCUCACUUCAUCUGAAAUUAACAUUUAGUUCUUAGAGAAUUUGUGACUGCACAAAUGUGGACGCUAUGUCGAUUCUUCCUGCUCUAUAGAAGAAUAAUUAUCUAGAGAUUUUGUCAAUGUCUGUAACACAAUGUGUGUGUGAUAAGUUUGUGAAGGGGCUCAUUCAUGUACAUGGUUCGAAUCUGAAGGAGUUAGCAAAUGUUGGUUGCUUUCAAGUCUUUACAGAUUCUUACUCUAUGCAAUACUGCUCUAGGCAAUAGUUUUCUUUUAGAAGUAACAGUACCAUUAUUAUAUUACUUUUAUACCAAUAUUCAGAAGCAACAUGGAGCGGCAUAAACUGACUUGCUUUUAUGAUUUAUUUUUUCUAGAUAUAACCGUAGCGUUAGCACGGGCAAUAUACUAGUGAUAGUAGUUGUAAAAUGGAUGAUGAUAAUAGAAUGAAGGACUUAGUCUGAGGCCUCACUUGCAAUCCAGGGUUUUAAGUAUCUGAAGACAACACAAAAAUUGCUUGACGUGAUUGUCAGCAUUUGAUUGUGCACUAUGCAAAAAUAGAUAAAGAUCCUUGCCGAAACAGGAAAAGUGAAUGACAAAGCCAAUGAUGGGGGGCUAAAAACGAGAUAGUAUCUUCAUAGGAGCCCAAUGUCGGAGCUUUUCAACUACUGAGAAACAAGUUUUUUUUAAUAACUCCUUAGAGACAAGAGCUCCAUAAUAACAUGAUGAAACUUAUUGCUGGCAAUAUCUUCCUGGUUGGGCACACAUGGCAGGUAUUUUCUGUAUGGCAGGUAGACAUGCUGAUGCAUGUCCUUUUAAAAUCAAAUUGUAUAAACCAAUCAGUUAUCCGAUAUUUUCAGGGAAAAAAAGUGUGUUCCAUUGGCAUGCCUUGCUUAGCUGCUAUGGCUCUUUGCAAUGUGAAUUCUAGUAUUGGGAUGUAAUCUAUAGAUAGACAGAAAUCAUAUAUGGUCUACAAUUUUUUUCAUAUGUAUUUUA
This is a long non-coding RNA of Sorghum bicolor (sorghum), 1705 nucleotides long. RefSeq lists it as uncharacterized. The transcript has 2 exons. The record is from RefSeq and is a predicted model, not a curated record. Lineage: Eukaryota; Viridiplantae; Streptophyta; Magnoliopsida; Poales; Poaceae.